CAAAUUAGAGCUUUAUAUAAGCGUUUUAUUUACGCUAAGAAGUUUGGUUGUGAAAUUCAACUUAAUUUGA
Molecule: transfer RNA, 70 nt
Filed under: Epuraea sp.
Lineage: Eukaryota; Metazoa; Arthropoda; Insecta; Coleoptera; Nitidulidae
Description: tRNA-Val
Source: RNAcentral